AUGGUGGCCUUCAGACAGACCUGCUCAAAUUCCUGCAUUUUGGAAUGGGCUGCUUUGAGGAGGUUUUGUGUCACAAAAGAAUCCCAAGAAGGGGAAAAAAUAAAUAGUUUCUUGCUCUGGCCUGGCAAUUGCAAGCUUGGUGUUUCCUGCUCUCUACACACGGAAUCCUUGCCUCUGGCUAAGAUUAAAAGCGUGAAACUGCAUGGGGAAACACAAGAAGGCUUGUCUCUGCAGACAGGCAAAGGUGAGGGCAUGAAGAUGUAUAACUGUCCCAGGUGGGAGAAGAGUACAGUUUACCCCCUCAGGAUUUGA
This is a long non-coding RNA of Cyanistes caeruleus (blue tit), 312 nucleotides long. The record is from Ensembl. Lineage: Eukaryota; Metazoa; Chordata; Aves; Passeriformes; Paridae.